CUCAGGAUGAACGCUGGCGGUCUGCUUAACACAUGCAAGUCGAACGCAACCUUCGGGUUGAGUGGCGGACGGGUGAGUAACGCGUGAGAAUCUGCCUUGGGGUCGGGGACAACCACUGGAAACGGUGGCUAAUACCGGAUAAGCCUUUGGGUAAAAGAUUUAUUGCCCCAAGAGGAGCUCGCGUCUGAUUAGCUAGUUGGUGAGGUAAAAGCUCACCAAGGCAGCGAUCAGUAGCUGGUCUGAGAGGACGAUCAGCCACACUGGGACUGAGACACGGCCCAGACUCCUACGGGAGGCAGCAGUGGGGAAUUUUCCGCAAUGGGCGAAAGCCUGACGGAGCAAGACCGCGUGAGGGAGGAAGGCUCUUGGGUUGUAAACCUCUUUUCUCAGGGAAGAAGCUCUGACGGUACUUGAGGAAUCAGCCUCGGCUAACUCCGUGCCAGCAGCCGCGGUAAUACGGAGGAGGCAAGCGUUAUCCGGAAUUAUUGGGCGUAAAGCGUCCGCAGGUGGCGAUUCAAGUCUGCUGUCAAAGCACGGGGCUUAACUCCGUUAAGGCAGUGGAAACUGAAUAGCUAGAGUGCCGUAGGGGUAGAGGGAAUUCCCGGUGUAGCGGUGAAAUGCGUAGAGAUCGGGAAGAACAUCGGUGGCGAAAGCGCUCUACUGGACGGCAACUGACACUCAGGGACGAAAGCUAGGGGAGCGAAUGGGAUUAGAUACCCCAGUAGUCCUGGCUGUAAACGAUGGAUACUAGGUGUAGCUUGUAUCGACCCGAGCUGUGCCGAAGCUAACGCGUUAAGUAUCCCGCC
Molecule: ribosomal RNA, 806 nt
Filed under: uncultured organism
Description: bacterial SSU rRNA
Rfam family: Bacterial small subunit ribosomal RNA
Source: RNAcentral